UGGGGAAUUUUGGACAAUGGGCGAAAGCCUGAUCCAGCAAUGCCGCGUGUGUGAAGAAGGCCUUCGGGUUGUAAAGCACUUUUGUCCGGAAAGAAAUCCUUGGCUCUAAUACAGUCGGGGGGAUGACGGUACCGGAAGAAUAAGCACCGGCUAACUACGUGCCAGCAGCCGCGGUAAUACGUAGGGUGCAAGCGUUAAUCGGAAUUACUGGGCGUAAAGCGUGCGCAGGCGGUUUGCUAAGACCGAUGUGAAAUCCCCGGGCUCAACCUGGGAACUGCAUUGGUGACUGGCAGGCUAGAGUAUGGCAGAGGGGGGUAGAAUUCCACGUGUAGCAGUGAAAUGCGUAGAGAUGUGGAGGAAUACCGAUGGCGAAGGCAGCCCCCUGGGCCAAUACUGACGCUCAUGCACGAAAGCGUGGGGAGCAAACAGGAUUAGAUACCCUGGUAGUCCACGCCCUAAACGAUGUCAACUAGUUGUUGGGGAUUCAUUUCCUUAGUAACGUAGCUAACGCGUGAAGUUGACCGCCUGGGGAGUACGGUCGCAAGAUUAAAACUCAAAGGAAUUGACGGGGUCAUAGCUGUUUCCU
Molecule: ribosomal RNA, 586 nt
Filed under: uncultured bacterium
Lineage: Bacteria
Description: partial 16S ribosomal RNA
Rfam family: Bacterial small subunit ribosomal RNA
Source: RNAcentral